CAGGCCUAACACAUGCAAGUCGAACGCUAUCGCAAGAUAGAGUGGCGCACGGGUGAGUAACACGUGGGAAUCUGCCCUUCUCUGCGGGACAACAGUUGGAAACGACUGCUAAUACCGCAUACGCCCUUCGGGGGAAAGGUCCGCCGGAGAAGGAGGAGCCCGCGUCUGAUUAGCUUGUUGGUGGGGUAAAGGCCUACCAAGGCGACGAUCAGUAGCUGGUCUGAGAGGAUGAUCAGCCACACUGGGACUGAGACACGGCCCAGACUCCUACGGGAGGCAGCAGUGGGGAAUAUUGGACAAUGGAGGCAACUCUGAUCCAGCAAUGCCGCGUGUGUGAUGAAGGCCCUAGGGUUGUAAAGCACUUUCAUUGGUGAAGAUGAUGACGGUAACCAAAGAAGGAGCCCCGGCUAACUUCGUGCCAGCAGCCGCGGUAAUACGAAGGGGGCGAGCGUUGUUCGGAAUUACUGGGCGUAAAGGGAGCGCAGGCGGUUCAUUUAGUUAGGCGUGAAAGCCCCGGGCUCAACCUGGGAACUGCGCUUAAUACUGAUGAGCUAGAAAACAGAAGAGGAUAGUGGAAUUCCCAGUGUAGAGGUGAAAUUCGUAGAUAUUGGGAAGAACACCGGUGGCGAAAGCGGCUAUCUGGUCUGAU
Molecule: ribosomal RNA, 649 nt
Filed under: uncultured bacterium
Lineage: Bacteria
Description: bacterial SSU rRNA
Rfam family: Bacterial small subunit ribosomal RNA
Source: RNAcentral